GUGGGUAUAGCUCAGUGGUAAGAGCACGUGCUUAGCACGCACGAGGUCUCCUGGGCUCAAGCCCCAGCACCUCCA
This 75-nucleotide transfer RNA is filed under the name Camelus dromedarius (Arabian camel). It matches the Rfam family "tRNA". From Rfam's summary of the family: Transfer RNA (tRNA) molecules are approximately 80 nucleotides in length. Their secondary structure includes four short double-helical elements and three loops (D, anti-codon, and T loops). Further hydrogen bonds mediate the characteristic L-shaped molecular structure. tRNAs have two regions of fundamental functional importance: the anti-codon, which is responsible for specific mRNA codon recognition, and the 3' end, to which the tRNAs corresponding amino acid is attached (by aminoacyl-tRNA synthetases). tRNAs cope with the degeneracy of the genetic code in two manners: having more than one tRNA (with a specific anti-codon) for a particular amino acid; and 'wobble' base-pairing, i.e. permitting non-standard base-pairing at the 3rd anti-codon position. RNAcentral also lists the same sequence under 1 other name. Lineage: Eukaryota; Metazoa; Chordata; Mammalia; Artiodactyla; Camelidae. The record is from Rfam by way of RNAcentral.